Molecule: unclassified non-coding RNA, 377 nt
Filed under: Hevea brasiliensis (rubber tree)
Lineage: Eukaryota; Viridiplantae; Streptophyta; Magnoliopsida; Malpighiales; Euphorbiaceae
Source: RNAcentral
GGGGGCAGUGUGGAGAUGAGAAGAAUAACGAUUAUUUCGAAAUAGAAGAGAUGAGUUUUAUUUUAUUGAGAAUUGACGCUGGCGAUCAAACCAGUAAGUAGAAGGAAAAUUAAAGCAGUGCGUAAAAGACUCAUUUGGGACAAGACAAUUAAUUUUGAAAUAUUAUUCAUCAAUGACAGGUCUUCUUUCUUCUUCUACUUGAGAACGAAGGAGUGCAAUGCAAGAAAUUAAUUACACCAGCUGUAAAUAGUUAUCAAUUUUUGAGAAUUAGAUUCUAGAAUUUCAUUAGAAAUUUUAUAUAAAAAGAUGUAAAUCUAACUGAUUUUUUUUUUUUUAAUGAGAUCAGUCUAAUGAGUUUGCUUUUCCCUGGAGAACAU